GAUGAAGAACGCAGCGAAAUGCGAUACGUAAUGUGAAUUGCAGAAUUCAGUGAAUCAUCGAGUCUUUGAACGCACAUUGCGCCCCCUGGUAUUCCGGGGGGCAUGCCUGUCCGAGCGUCAUUGCUGCCCUCAAGCCCGGCUUGUGUGUUGGGUCUCGUCCCCCUUCCCGGGGGACGGGCCCGAAAGGCAGCGGCGGCACCGCGUCCGGUCCUCGAGCGUAUGGGGCUUUGUCACCCGCUCUGUAGGCCCGGCCGGCGCUUGCCGAUCAACCAAAACUUUUUUCCAGGUUGACCUCGGAUCAGGUAGGGAUACCCGCUGAACUUAAGCAUAUCAAUAAGCGGAGGA
RNAcentral lists this unclassified non-coding RNA (345 nucleotides) under soil metagenome. RNAcentral's name for it is "partial contains 5.8S ribosomal RNA, internal transcribed spacer 2, and large subunit ribosomal RNA". The stretch from base 1 to 120 matches the Rfam family "5.8S ribosomal RNA", at positions 35 to 154 of the family's 154-position model. The record is from RNAcentral.